RNAcentral lists this ribosomal RNA (1470 nucleotides) under metagenome. Its description in RNAcentral is "bacterial SSU rRNA". It matches the Rfam family "Bacterial small subunit ribosomal RNA". The record is from RNAcentral.
AGAGUUUGAUCCUGGCUCAGGACGAACGCUGGCGGCACGCUUAACACAUGCAAGUCGAACGAGAGAAGAGGAGCUUGCUUUUCUGAUCUAGUGGCGGACGGGUGGGUAACACGUGAGCAAUCUGCCUUUCAGAGGGGGAUACCGAUUGGAAACGAUCGUUAAUACCGCAUAACAUAAUUGAACCGCAUGAUUUGAUUAUCAAAGAUUUAUCGCUGAAAGAUGAGCUCGCGUCUGAUUAGCUAGUUGGUAAGGUAACGGCUUACCAAGGCGACGAUCAGUAGCCGGACUGAGAGGUUGAUCGGCCACAUUGGGACUGAGACACGGCCCAGACUCCUACGGGAGGCAGCAGUGGGGAAUAUUGCACAAUGGAGGAAACUCUGAUGCAGCGAUGCCGCGUGAGGGAAGAAGGUUUUAGGAUUGUAAACCUCUGUCUUCAGGGACGAAAAAAGACGGUACCUGAGGAGGAAGCUCCGGCUAACUACGUGCCAGCAGCCGCGGUAAUACGUAGGGAGCGAGCGUUGUCCGGAAUUACUGGGUGUAAAGGGAGCGUAGGCGGGACCGCAAGUCAGAUGUGAAAACUAUGGGCUUAACCCAUAAACUGCAUUUGAAACUGUGGUUCUUGAGUGAAGUAGAGGUAAGCGGAAUUCCUAGUGUAGCGGUGAAAUGCGUAGAUAUUAGGAGGAACAUCAGUGGCGAAGGCGGCUUACUGGGCUUUAACUGACGCUGAGGCUCGAAAGCGUGGGGAGCAAACAGGAUUAGAUACCCUGGUAGUCCACGCCGUAAACGAUGAUUACUAGGUGUGGGGGGACUGACCCCUUCCGUGCCGCAGCAAACGCAAUAAGUAAUCCACCUGGGGAGUACGACCGCAAGGUUGAAACUCAAAGGAAUUGACGGGGGCCCGCACAAGCAGUGGAGUAUGUGGAUUAAUUCGAAGCAACGCGAAGAACCUUACCAGGUCUUGACAUCGUAUGCAUAGCUCAGAGAUGAGUGAAAUCUCUUCGGAGACAUAUAGACAGGUGGUGCAUGGUUGUCGUCAGCUCGUGUCGUGAGAUGUUGGGUUAAGUCCCGCAACGAGCACAACCCUUACUGUUAGUUGCUACGCAAGAGCACUCUAGCAGGACUGCCGUUGACAAAACGGAGGAAGGUGGGGAUGACGUCAAAUCAUCAUGCCCCUUAUGACCUGGGCCUCACACGUACUACAAUGGCUGUCAACAGAGGGAAGCAAAGCCGCGAGGUGGAGCGAACCCCUAAAAGCAGUCUUAGUUCGGAUUGUAGGCUGCAACCCGCCUACAUGAAGUCGGAAUUGCUAGUAAUCGCAGAUCAGCAUGCUGCGGUGAAUACGUUCCCGGGCCUUGUACACACCGCCCGUCACGCCAUGGGAGUCGGUAACACCCGAAGCCUGUAGUCUAACCGCAAGGAGGACGCAGUCGAAGGUGGGAUUGAUGACUGGGGUGAAGUCGUAACAAGGUA